This 500-nucleotide ribosomal RNA is filed under the name uncultured bacterium. RNAcentral describes it as "partial 16S ribosomal RNA". It matches the Rfam family "Bacterial small subunit ribosomal RNA", at positions 30 to 523 of the family's 1533-position model. The record is from RNAcentral.
AUUGAACGCUGGCGGAAUGCUUUACACAUGCAAGUCGAACGGCAGCACGGACUUCGGUCUGGUGGCGAGUGGCGAACGGGUGAGUAAUGUAUCGGAACGUGCCCAGUCGUGGGGGAUAACGUAGUGAAAGUUACGCUAAUACCGCAUACGAUCUAUGGAUGAAAGCGGGGGAUCGCAAGACCUCGCGCGAUUGGAGCGGCCGAUAUCGGAUUAGGUAGUUGGUGGGGUAAAGGCCCACCAAGCCAACGAUCUGUAGCUGGUCUGAGAGGACGACCAGCCACACUGGAACUGAGACACGGUCCAGACUCCUACGGGAGGCAGCAGUGGGGAGUUUUGGACAAUGGGCGAAAGCCUGAUCCAGCCAUUCCGCGUGCAGGAUGAAGGCCCUCGGGUUGUAAACUGCUUUUGUACAGAACGAAAAGGUUUCUACUAAUACUAGGAGCUCAUGACGGUACUGUAAGAAUAAGCACCGGCUAACUACGUGCCAGCAGCCGCAGUAA